CGCGCAUGCGCACUGGGCGUAUCGAAGUAUUCGAGUUUCUUAAUCACAGCAACAUUCAAUUGGUUGAAUAACCGUUUUCGGCGCGACAAUGGCGUUCGUAAGGAUUCUGCGUGUUUCUCGUAAUUUCGCUCAACGGAGGUUAAACAAAGUGGUUCAACGGUCAUCCAAAGUGAAACUCGAGAUUUCUGAAAAGAUUUUGCUGGCCAAACAAGUAUCGCAAGUUUGCCGUGAGAUGACAGAAUAGGACAUUCGCGAUUCGGAGAACGGAAAGUCGGUAAAUUGAGAAGUCGGGAAGUCGGUAAAUUAAGAAGUCGGGAAGUCGGUAAAUUGAGAAGUCGUUUAGUCGAAAAGUUGGUUUAAUUAGGAAAAUCCAGCUUUCCCUUCAGAAAUAUUCAAGAGUGAAAAUUUACUGUGGAUAAAAUGGAUCCAGUGUGCCCAUGGAGGGUUAAUAUGGAUUGGACUAUGAUUCGUUACUUUGACUGUAUUCCAUCACCACGCAGUACGGCUCCUCGCGAUAACAGGCGCCCAGGACACGUGCGAUAUUGCGAUCUUCCAGAGCGGCCAAGAUCCUCACGUCCCUUUGGAAGUCCAACCUGUUCAAUCGUGUCUCUUGUUGGGGACACUAGGGGAUAGAGAGAAGGAGAGAGGGAGGGUAAGAGGUACAGAGAUAGUGAGGUAAGUAAGUAGAAAUGUAGAGAGAAAAAGAGUUAAAAAGGUAGAAACAUGCACAAGUAGAGAGAGGAAGAGAUGGUGGACGAGAGAAAAAAAGAGGAAGGGAGAAAAGCAUGGAGAAAGGGUAGAAGAUAGAGAGAUAGACAAGUAGAGAGGUAGAGAUAGAGGGGGCUAGAGAGGGGAGAUAGAGAAGACUGACGUAGUCGAGAGUUUCAAAUCUGCAACAUCGUCGUCGAUAAGAUUCCGUGAGUCUCUCUUUUCUGAUUAUAAAUCCACUUUUAUUCGGCAGUCGCGUCGCCGUACUGUAAACGUGGAUAAACUCCUCGUAAGAUGCGAUUCCCAUCGAAUCCGCGUUAAAUCAGACGGAACCGCCAAGGCGACAGGGAAGAAUCGACGCUUUCAGAAUCGCAUGUGCUCCCUUCCUUCCUCGCAAUCUCUCGAUAUGAAGACGCGGCCCGCGAUUUUAUAUCUCUGCUGAUAAAGCAUCUUCCUCUGUCUAACAUGCGGCGUCACGCCGCGCCUCUCUUCCUCGACGAGCCGCUUGCGAACGACGGCGAAGUCGAUUUCUGUCGAGUGAACACCAAAUCGAAUCGAGUCUUCCGUGCGCACGAUGUCGCAAAAUCGUAGAAAAGAAAGGAGCACGAACCAGAUACAGAUAAAGAUAGAUAGGCAAGUAGGUAGAGAGAGAGAGAGAGAGAGAGAGACAGACCGCGUAAGGAGAGACACGUUAUAGAUUAUUUGCAUGCCUCUUCGGCUUUUCGCGUCGUUUCCUUCCUCUCUCUCUCCUCUUCCUCUCCUCUCCCUCUCUUCUCUCUUGCUUUGCCUUGCCUAACCGCACCGUCCGUCGUCGUCGUCCCGAAAUCGCUGCCUGGCAGAUAUACGAUAAACCACUGUCAAUUACCGCGCGCGUAUCACUCUGAAUCAACCUCGAGAUUUAUUUUUUUCGAUGAUUGAUAGGCGAUCGUUCGUGGGAAAUGGGGGAGCAAAGACGAAGGGGCAAGGAGAGGAGGGCAGAGAGGAAAGAGGAGCGACGAUAGUUGUGUCGCGAUGCGGUUUCGUUGCGCCGAAAAUUGGAAUGAAAUGGCGGAAUUACAAAAAGAAAUACACUUCUCCAUCGGAUGGCCGUUUUCUCUCUCCCAUCUACAACCCUCCCCUAUGUACUCUCUUUUCCGUUCCAUUUGUGUGUGUGUGUGUGUGUGUAUGUGUGUAUGUAUCUCUCUUUCUUUCUCUUUCUUUCUUUUCACGAUAGAAGGUUUGUACCGCGAGUGAAACGAUUUCGCGUCACGAACAGAAAUUUUCGUCCCUAGUUUCGUUGCGGCGCGACGUCCCACGGCUCUUUCUCCUUCUCUUCCUUCUCUCUCGCGCCAUUGUUUUCGUCCGUGUGGUGCGGGAUCAGCGCGGAAAUAUAUCCUCGUUCGAAGGUUUUUAAUGUAUCCCAGAAUUUCGGCCGGACACGUCCUGCUGAGAGCUGUCACAGGGGUGUAUGGGAACGCGGUAGAGAGAUGAUGGAUUCAGGGAAAUUAAAUGACGGAUCGCGCUGUCUCUUUUAGGACGCGUCUAUCAGAACGCGUUUCCGUGCUCUCUCCCUCUCUUUUGUGCGAUGAAUCGAGCGAAAUAAAUUUCUAUUGGCCUAGUUUGCGUCGAAUCGCGAUUACGGGGAUUCCAAAUUGUUUAAUUUCAAUCGCGCGCGCUCGUAUCGGUCGCGUUUGCUCGCGCGCGUGAGUCCACUGCACGAUAAAGUUUCAUAAAUUUCUUAGGGGAAGACAUAUAUGUUAUCCUCAUACGGGCUCGUGUUUCUCUCUCCCUUUUUCUCUCUUUCUCUCUCGGCACCGCGUAAAAGAGCGAUGCAUAGUUUUUUAAAUUUGAUAUACGUCUCGUUGCGUUUCCUACAUUUUAAGAGAAGUUCCAUUAGGAGUUAUCAUUUCCCUCGUCGACGAUAGACGGGAUGAGAGCUAAUGGUUACUCGAGAAAGAGAGAAAGAAAGAGAAAGAGAGACAGAAAAGAAACAAUUUUUCUGUUUAUAUAUAAGACAAACACACACACACAAACGGUUUAUCAAAGCUAAGGAGAGGCACUCUACCUUUUUCACGUUUUCUCUUUUUCUUUAUCUCAGUGACUAUGAUCGAUAUCAUUUCAAACGUUACGCGGGACACAAAUCUCGCGACUAACGGGAAAUCCUCCAACGACUGUUUUCUCUCUCUUCCUCUUUCCGAGGAUGGAGAAGCAUCAGUAGUGUGUAUAUGUAUAUAUAUAUAUAUAUAUAUAUAUAUAUAUAUAUAUAUAUAUAUAUAUCGCUUGUUUAUCAC
Odontomachus brunneus is the source of this 2978-nucleotide long non-coding RNA. RefSeq lists it as uncharacterized. The transcript is spliced from 5 exons. NCBI's taxonomy places the organism in Eukaryota, Metazoa, Arthropoda, Insecta, Hymenoptera, Formicidae. The record is from RefSeq and is a predicted model, not a curated record.